UACAGAGGAUGCGAGCGUUAUCCGGAUUUAUUGGGUUUAAAGGGUGCGCAGGCGGCACGGCAAGCCGGCGGUCAAAUCGCGGGGCUCAACCCCGCCCAGCCGUCGGAACUGCCGGGCUAGAGUGGGCGAGAAGUGCGCGGAAUGCGUGGUGUAGCGGUGAAAUGCAUAGAUAUCACGCAGAACUCCGAUUGCGAAGGCAGCGCACCGGCGCCCUACUGACGCUCAGGCGCGAAAGCGUGGGUAUCGAACAGG
Molecule: ribosomal RNA, 252 nt
Filed under: uncultured bacterium
Lineage: Bacteria
Description: partial 16S ribosomal RNA
Rfam family: Bacterial small subunit ribosomal RNA
Source: RNAcentral